RNAcentral lists this ribosomal RNA (274 nucleotides) under uncultured bacterium. Its description in RNAcentral is "partial 16S ribosomal RNA". It matches the Rfam family "Bacterial small subunit ribosomal RNA", at positions 523 to 796 of the family's 1533-position model. The record is from RNAcentral.
CUACGGAGGGUCCAAGCGUUAUCCGGAUUCAUUGGGUUUAAAGGGUCCGCAGGCGGGAAAAUAAGUCAGUGGUGAAAGCCUACAGCUCAACUGUAGAACUGCCAUUGAUACUGUUUUUCUUGAGUAUAGAUGAAGUGGGCGGAAUAUAUCAUGUAGCGGUGAAAUGCAUAGAUAUGAUAUAGAACACCGAUUGCGAAGGCAGCUCACUAAACUAUUACUGACGCUCAGGGACGAAAGCGUGGGGAGCGAACGGGAUUAGAUACCCUAGUAGUCC